UACGUAGGUGGCAAGCGUUAUCCGGAUUUACUGGGUGUAAAGGGCGUGUAGGCGGGAUGGUAAGUCAGAUGUGAAAACUAUGGGCUCAACUCAUAGCCUGCAUUUGAAACUGCUGUUCUUGAGUACUGGAGAGGCAGACGGAAUUCCUAGUGUAGCGGUGAAAUGCGUAGAUAUUAGGAGGAACACCAGUGGCGAAGGCGGUCUGCUGGACAGCAACUGACGCUGAGGCGCGAAAGCGUGGGGAGCAAACAGG
RNAcentral lists this ribosomal RNA (253 nucleotides) under Flintibacter butyricus. RNAcentral's name for it is "partial 16S ribosomal RNA". It matches the Rfam family "Bacterial small subunit ribosomal RNA", at positions 524 to 776 of the family's 1533-position model. The record is from RNAcentral. Lineage: Bacteria; Bacillati; Bacillota; Clostridia; Eubacteriales.